This 230-nucleotide microRNA precursor is filed under the name Oryza sativa (Asian cultivated rice). Its description in RNAcentral is "partial microRNA MIR438e-4 precursor". The stretch from base 19 to 211 matches the Rfam family "MIR812 microRNA precursor family". The record is from RNAcentral. Lineage: Eukaryota; Viridiplantae; Streptophyta; Magnoliopsida; Poales; Poaceae.
CUUACUCCCUCCGUCUCAUUUAAGUGCAACCAUGAGUUUCUGUGUACAACUUUGAUCAUCCGUCUUAUUUUAAUAGUAUUUUUAUUGUUAUGAGACGAUAAAACAUGAAUAAUACUUUAUGUAUGACUUAUGUUUUUAAUUUUUUUAAAAAAAUUUUUAAAUAAGACAGACGAUCAAAGUUAGGUAAAAAAAAAAUAUGGCUGCACUUAAAAUGGGACGGAUGGAGUACA